AUGCUUUUGAGCAACAACAUUAAACUCCGGGCGUCCUGUGACAUGAGGCUCGUCGACCAGUACACUGGAUUCCCAUUUUCAGUGCAUAAAACAGAAAUUAGAACUUUCAGUCCCGGUGACUUCACUAUGUUUGCUCCUGAGACUCCUUAUUUCAUGAGGCGAAGCGAGUUUGAGGGAUCUCCGUACCUUAGGGAUGAUCGCUUGACGAUCGAAUGCAUCGUCACUGUUUUCAAGAUGCCACAUGUUACUGAAACCAAAUCAUUCCCCAAAAUCGACAUGCCACAACCUGACAUGACUGAGAAUGUCAGCAAGCUACUUGAAGAAAUGACGGGAUUUGAUGUGAGUUUCAUUGUCGGAGGAGAGACCAUUGAAGCACAUAGGUUUGUUCUUGCUAUGAGGUCGCCUGUUUUCAAAGCAGAGCUCUAUGGGUCGAUGCAGGAGGCGAGGCUGGGGGAGUGCAUAACCAUCAAGGACAUGCAACCUGCCGUUUUCAAGGCCCUGCUCCAUUUCAUCUAUACUGACUCUUUGCCUAGCGGCGAGGAUACAGAGAUGAUCCGGCUUUUACUAGUGGCCGAGGAUAGAUAUGCAAUGGAUAGGCUCAAGCUGGUUUGCCAAAGCAUCCUUUGCGAGGAUUUGAAUGUGGACACCAUCACAACCACAUUGGCUUUUGCUGACCGACAUAACUGCCACCAGCUUAAGGAUGCUUGCCUUGAAUUUAUCAAAUUAUCAAAUUUCAUGGAUGAUGUGGUGGGAACCCAACGCUUAAAGGAUCUCAAGGCGACUUGCCCAUCUUUCGUUGUGGAUGAACAGGGAAAGAGAAGGAAGUUUUCAUGA
RNAcentral lists this ribosomal RNA (834 nucleotides) under Triticum aestivum (bread wheat). RNAcentral describes it as "partial small subunit ribosomal RNA". Lineage: Eukaryota; Viridiplantae; Streptophyta; Magnoliopsida; Poales; Poaceae. The record is from RNAcentral.